Molecule: long non-coding RNA, 1536 nt
Filed under: Nicotiana tabacum (common tobacco)
Lineage: Eukaryota; Viridiplantae; Streptophyta; Magnoliopsida; Solanales; Solanaceae
Description: long non-coding RNA (NTAB_LNC019163)
Source: RNAcentral
CCCAACAAAGAAAUGCUACUCGUCUAAAUUAAAUUCACAGUAUGAUAGUCCAAACACACAAGUACUCGAGAAAGAAUUUAACCAAGCUAGAACCAAAAUGACAAAUUAAAGUCCAAAUACAAUCCGAAAAUGCACUGUCCAUAGCAUGACUGAAUACAGUAAAGUUCAAAUAGUAAAGCUAAUUCAAUAAGGAACACAUGAGUAGUCUUUUAAGAAUAUGGACUAAUAUUCAGCCUAGUUUACAUUCAUCUACAAGUGUCCAAAUUGAUUACAUAACUUCAAUAUGCACUUCACAUGUCAAUGAGAUCCAAAAAGUACCUGAUUGUAGCAAAAGCAACAAAGGAAACAUGCCCGAGGUUAGGAAGAAACGAGAACACCAGCACAACAACAUUCAACCUCUUAGACCAUUUUUAAACCCAAAUAAACCAAAAAUUUCCUUGAAGCUUUUAAAUUCUGAUUAACAAUCAAAACUAAAGAGCAAAACCAAGACCAAUUUCGACCAAAAAUUGCAGGAAUUUUAGUAUAUUUUUUAGAGUAUCAAUCGCUGCUCAAAAUGAAGGGAAAAAGGUCUUUAUAUAGGUAUGCCUAAGGCAGCCCUAGCCUAACUAACCAUUUUCGCUUUUACCCCUUGAAUUCUUGGUUAUUUUACCCUUUUUACCCUUUUAAAAUAUCUGACCUCCCUUAUCUCUUAACAAACCAGCUUUAAAUUUAACCUCUAGAAUCUUCGUCCCAACAGAAAAUGAUUCCCUACCCUCAAAUACCUAAAUUAACCCUUUAUCCCUUGCAUUUUACAUUCAGAAAGACUCAGCUCAUGGGUCAGAUUUGACCCAAGUCCCAAAUGAAUGGGUCUCUUAAUCGGGUCAGCGAUGACCACAGUUAGUACAAAACUCAAACCAUCAGAAAUGCUCAAACAAAAGGAUCUAAUUCAGAAAAAAGAAAACAAACAACAAUCCAGAGUUUUAUGAUUAAACUUAACUUAACCACUAAACCAAGAUGAAUUCCACUACUAAAGAAAGUAAGACAAAAAUAAUGAAGCAAAUAAAAAUAAAAAAGAGAACAAAAAAUACUACCAUGAACAGAAUCGUGAGAAAAAAGAGGGGAAAGUACCAAUUCAUGCCGGAAUGUCUUGACAAAACAAAACGAUUCGACGAACAAUGACGGGAGUAGACAUUUGGCAAGAAUCCAAUGCGUCAAUCAAAAUCCGACGUUUUUCCGUAAUGACUCAAAACUUUCGUCAAUCAAUUGCCCUCAUUGAGAGCAAUCUAUUAACGUAAGAUUCGAGUUAAAACACGUCGAAAUUAGAGCAAAAUCAGAAAAAAGAAAGGGAAAUUAGGGAUUGUAUUUUCUGAUUUUAGAUCCGAAAUUGGGCAACUUUGGUUGGAUUCUAAGGAAAGAUAUUAAUGGAUUUGGGAAUAAGGAGGGGUAAGGACUGCCUGGUUGAAAUUUGGGGUUGUUUGGAGCAUGCCGCCGGCGGAGAUGGUGGGGAACUUUAGGGCAGCGCUAGGGUUUUUAGUCUCUGAGUAUAGAGACGAAGAA